AUCUGGUCCUCCUGCAUAAAUCAUAGCACAGCUCAGCUUGACUCUGUUCUGUUGACAGCUUUGAGCAGAGUUUUUGAACCAAAAAUCUGAAUGUGUUUUCCUUUACUUCAAAAGGCUAGGAAAGGAAGAGUCAAUACAAUGAUUUUAACUAGAGUGAACACUUGCAGACAGUGAAAGCAAAUGUGCAAGCAUUAAUGGGUAUGUGCGAUUCCAGCAUUACUUUUUGCGUGGAGAGUUUACACAAGUCCUGCAUCACACAACCUCGUGUGUAAUACCACUGGAUAUCUGAACAUCAUCUUUCACGG
Molecule: long non-coding RNA, 305 nt
Filed under: Phasianus colchicus (ring-necked pheasant)
Lineage: Eukaryota; Metazoa; Chordata; Aves; Galliformes; Phasianidae
Description: lncRNA (ENSPCLG00000006293.1)
Source: RNAcentral